UUCAUAGUUUCCCCCCAGGAUGGGUGGGUUCACUAUUAUUUUCCUUUGAUGAUUAAAGCAUCAGCAUUUUUAACAACUAUGUCAUGUCUGAAUGCAUUAAUCUCUUUCACUCAUCCAUGAUCAGUGUGUGACGCUUUGG
Molecule: long non-coding RNA, 139 nt
Organism: Amblyraja radiata (thorny skate)
Lineage: Eukaryota; Metazoa; Chordata; Chondrichthyes; Rajiformes; Rajidae
Exons: 3
Source: RefSeq, a predicted model, not a curated record